Molecule: ribosomal RNA, 547 nt
Filed under: uncultured bacterium
Lineage: Bacteria
Description: partial 16S ribosomal RNA
Rfam family: Bacterial small subunit ribosomal RNA
Source: RNAcentral
UGGGGAAUUUUGGACAAUGGGCGAAAGCCUGAUCCAGCAAUGCCGCGUGUGUGAAGAAGGCCUUCGGGUUGUAAAGCACUUUCAGCGAGGAGGAAGGUGGUGAACUUAAUACGUUCAUCAAUUGACGUUACUCGCAGAAGAAGCACCGGCUAACUCCGUGCCAGCAGCCGCGGUAAUACGGAGGGUGCAAGCGUUAAUCGGAAUUACUGGGCGUAAAGCGCACGCAGGCGGUUUGUUAAGUCAGAUGUGAAAUCCCCGGGCUCAACCUGGGAACUGCAUUUGAAACUGGCAAGCUAGAGUCUCGUAGAGGGGGGUAGAAUUCCAGGUGUAGCGGUGAAAUGCGUAGAGAUCUGGAGGAAUACCGGUGGCGAAGGCGGCCCCCUGGACGAAGACUGACGCUCAGGUGCGAAAGGCGUGGGGGAGCAAAACAGGAUUAGAUACCCUGGUAGUCCACGCUGUAAAACGAUGUCGAUUUUGGAGGUUGUGCCCUUGAGGCGUGGNUUCCGGAGCUAACGCGUUAAAGUCGACCGCCUGGGGGAGUACGGCC